This 467-nucleotide ribosomal RNA is filed under the name uncultured bacterium. RNAcentral's name for it is "partial 16S ribosomal RNA". It matches the Rfam family "Bacterial small subunit ribosomal RNA", at positions 28 to 506 of the family's 1533-position model. The record is from RNAcentral.
GACGAACGCUGGCGGCGUGCUUAACACAUGCAAGUCGAACGGAAAGGCCCUGCUUUUGUGGGGUGCUCGAGUGGCGAACGGGUGAGUAACACGUGAGUAACCUGCCCUUGACUUUGGGAUAACUUCAGGAAGCUGGGGCUAAUACCGGAUAGGAGCUCCUGCUGCAUGGUGGGGGUUGGAAAGUUUCGGCGGUUGGGGAUGGACUCGCGGCUUAUCAGCUUGUUGGUGGGGUAGUGGCUUACCAAGGCUUUGACGGGUAGCCGGCCUGAGAGGGUGACCGGCCACAUUGGGACUGAGAUACGGCCCAGACUCCUACGGGAGGCAGCAGUGGGGAAUAUUGCACAAUGGGCGGAAGCCUGAUGCAGCAACGCCGCGUGCGGGAUGACGGCCUUCGGGUUGUAAACCGCCUUCGCCUGUGACGAAGCGUGAGUGACGGUAAUGGGUAAAGAAGCACCGGCUAACUACGU